ACGAUCAGUAGCCGACCUGAGAGGGUGAUCGGCCACAUUGGAACUGAGACACGGUCCAAACUCCUACGGGAGGCAGCAGUGGGGAAUAUUGCACAAUGGGCGAAAGCCUGAUGCAGCAACGCCGCGUGAGUGCUGAAGGCCUUCGGGUCGUAAAACUCUGUCCUCAAGGAAGAUAAUGACGGUACUUGAGGAGGAAGCACCGGCUAACUACGUGCCAGCAGCCGCGGUAAUACGUAGGGGGCUAGCGUUAUCCGGAUUUACUGGGCGUAAAGGGUGCGUAGGCGGUCUUUAAG
This 293-nucleotide ribosomal RNA is filed under the name Clostridioides difficile. Its description in RNAcentral is "partial 16S ribosomal RNA". It matches the Rfam family "Bacterial small subunit ribosomal RNA", at positions 276 to 586 of the family's 1533-position model. The record is from RNAcentral. Lineage: Bacteria; Bacillati; Bacillota; Clostridia; Peptostreptococcales; Peptostreptococcaceae.